GAUUAACGCUGGCGGCGUGCCUAACACAUGCAAGUCGAACGAUGAAACUUAAAUGAUUUCUUCGGAAUGAACUUAAGUGGAUUAGUGGCGGACGGGUGAGUAACGCGUGAGUAACCUGCCUUACACAAGGGGAUAGCCGUUGGAAACGACGAAUAAUACCCUAUGAAACUAUCACUUCGCAUGAAGCGAUAGUCAAAGUGUUAGCGGUGUAAGAUGGACUUGCGUCUGAUUAGCUAGUUGGUGAGAAAAAAGCCCACCAAGGCAACGAUCAGUAGCCGGCUUGAGAGAGUGGACGGGCACAUUGGGAAUGGGACACGGCCCAAACUCCUACGGGAGGCAGCAGUGGGGAAUUUUGCACAAUGGGGGAAACCCUGAUGCAGCGACGCCGCGUGAUUUAGAAGGCCUUCGGGUUGUAAAAAUCUUUUGUAUAGGAAGAAAAUGACAGUACUAUACGAAUAAGGUCCGGCUAAUUACGUG
This 477-nucleotide ribosomal RNA is filed under the name uncultured bacterium. RNAcentral describes it as "partial 16S ribosomal RNA". It matches the Rfam family "Bacterial small subunit ribosomal RNA", at positions 28 to 507 of the family's 1533-position model. The record is from RNAcentral.